UACGCCAAGCUAACGGCAUGUUUAUGCAAUUGUGAAAGAUUUGCAUUAGUUGUACCAAAUCCUUCUCCUAUAAUGAUCCAAAUAUACACACAUUGAAGUAAUAGAUAAUGCGUUCGAUCUGUGUGGGGACUUAAAAACACGAGCGGAGUCACUGUCAAAAACUUUGACCCAGUUGUGCCAAACAACCACUCUGAAAAUUGUUAGUCUAAUUGCAAAAAGCAAAGAAAUUUAAAUCAAGUUCGCGUUCAUUGCAUGGAUGCAUCUCAUCGCAUCAAUAAUGCAUUUCAUCGUGUCCAAUAUCCUGAAAUGUUUUAAUGAUAUCAAAAAUUACAGUUUUGUGAUAAAAUAUAUAUUUUGUAAAGCUGUUAUUUUCUAUGAAAAGACAUCCCUGGACGUGGUUUAAAAACAUGGCUACAUCUAAUCAGUUCAGUUUGCCAUGGCAAACGAGACAACUCAUCCUGAUCUAUUUAAUCGGCAAUACAGUCAGUUGAGUUGAAUACAUAAAACAUAGUAUAACCAAUACAAAGAUUUAGUAAUAAUACUGAAUAAUAACAGUUUUCAAGGCAUUAUUUUUUAUUCCAUCGCGUUUCCAUAGUUCCACGGCUAUGUGUGAAUGCUAUUCGGCAUCCAUUUUGGAAGCAAGUAGGGAUAACUCAACUUUCCGUUUGCCAACCUUUUCUGAUUUCUAGCAGUAAUUUGGUCAUUAAUGCCUCCUGUAAGUCGAUCGUGAUACUUGUUCACAACGGCUUUGGCACGGUCAUCUUUUAGGUAUUUGCCAUAGUCGAAGAUGACGUCAUAUCGUAUUGAUCCCAAGGACAUGGACAGUGAAACUUGUUCC
Molecule: non-coding RNA, 838 nt
Organism: Paramuricea clavata
Lineage: Eukaryota; Metazoa; Cnidaria; Anthozoa; Malacalcyonacea; Plexauridae
Source: the annotation of a GenBank genome assembly